CAUUAGAGUGGUUCAGCAUGAAUGUGUUCAUCCAUAGUAACCUGGGGGGAAUGGGGUCAAUCUCCCAUUUCAGGAUACUGUUUCAAUUUUUGUUUUUUGGUUGAUAACCUUUUUUUUUUUUUUUUUUUGGAAACUGGGAAAAUGUAGACGUUUGCUCUGCUAAAAGUGGAAAUUUAACAUAAACUUAACUUCUGACUUCAAAGAUUGCUGUAUGCCAAGUCUCAUUGUAUCUCCAUCGUUAACAGUAAUCCAGGAGGAGAAAGUCAUUAAACAUUUUAUGGUUUCCAAUUGCCGUCAAGAUACUAACAACUGACAUUGAUUGAGGACUUACUAUGUAACAGGCUCUUUUAUUGACACUACAUAUACUACACACACACAUAAAGGGGCAUAUAUAUAUAUACACAUAUAUACACAAAUACUGUACACUAUACACUUAAACACACUAUGUAUACUAAUGUAUGAUACCACUAUAUACUACUAUUACAUAUAAAUAUAUAAAUACAUAUAAUCAACCCCAGAGGGUAGGAACACUUUACAAAUAAAGAAACCAAGAUACAUAUAGUUUACAUUAAUCUACAUAACUAGUGAGUGAUGACGCUGGAGUUAAAACUAGGCAGUCUAAUCCUGGAGCCCAUAUGGGUUCGUGGCACAUUUGUGGCAUCCACACUGUGCUGAGCAUUGUGCCACAUGUGAAGGUUCAGAGAUGAAUAAGGCAUGCCGCUAUUCCUAAGUUCACAGUUGAUGGAGGAGAUAGGCACAUUAUUACAGUAAGGUGCAACAGUGCUGGCUGAGCUGGGUCUUGAUGAUUAGGAUUAUACAUCUUGGAACACAUCAGAACAAAGUAUUCCACCCCCAGGUGCAGUAUGUACAAAGGUAAGAAACAGCUGUAACAGUCAUGGAGUUUUAAUCGGGAUGAGCCCCUGCAGAGAAUCUGCAGAAUCUGGGGGAAGAGAGAGCAACAUGAAGCCAGAAGAAUUGACAGAGACAAUGCAGUGAAGAGCCUUGAAUGCUAGUUUGUACUUUUAUCCUAUGAGAAAUGCAGAGUUGGUGAAGGUUUGUAAGCUGGAGAUGGAGAUGAUGGGAUGUGUUGCAGAAGUAUCACCGUGAUAAUCUUGCAGAGGCUGGCCUGGUAGCCACUCCUGGAGCUCCUAGAACUCUGGCCCAAGGCUCUCUGACUGACUCCUUCUCAGAUCUUCUCAGCUUAGCGGCUGAAGACUGACGCUGCCCGAUCGCCUCAGAAGCCCCGUAGACCAUCACGGACGCCGAGCUUUAAGCAACUCUCACAGUGGAAGGUAAGUCCGUCCCCUUCUUAAUCAAUACGGAGGCUACCCACUCCACAUUACCUUCUUUUCAAAGGCCUGAUUCCCUGCCUCCAUAACUGUUGUGGGUAUUGACGGCCAGGCUUCUAAACCUCUUAAAACUCCCCAACUCUGUUGCCAACUUAGGCAAUACUUUUUUAAGCACUCCUUUUUAGUUGUCCCCACCUGCCCAGUUCCCUUAUUAGGCCAAGACACUUUAACUAAAUUAUCUGCUUCCCUGACUAUUCCUGAACUACAGCCGCAUCUCAUUGCCGCCCUUCUCCCCAACCCAAAGCCUCCUUUGCGUCUUCCUCUCGUAUCCCGCCACCUUAACCCACAAGUAUAGGACAUCUCUACUCCUUCCCUGGCAACCGAUCACAUGCCCAUU
Molecule: long non-coding RNA, 1686 nt
Filed under: Homo sapiens (human)
Lineage: Eukaryota; Metazoa; Chordata; Mammalia; Primates; Hominidae
Description: HSALNT0153580
Source: RNAcentral